CUGACACAGGGAGGUAGUGACAAUAAAUAACAAUGCCGGGCCUAUCUAGGUCUGGCAAUUGGAAUGAGAACAAUUUAAAUCCCUUAUCGAGGAACAAUUGGAGGGCAAGUCUGGUGCCAGCAGCCGCGGUAAUUCCAGCUCCAAUAGCGUAUAUUAAAGUUGUUGCAGUUAAAAAGCUCGUAGUUGAAUUUCUGGUGGGAGUGUACAGUCCGACACUGAGUGUUGGUUCUUGUGUGUCUCCGGCCAUCCUUGGAGUGAAUCUGUCUGGCAUUUAGUUGUUGGGCAGAGUAUCUCCAUCGUUUACUGUGAGGAAAGGAAAGUGUUCAAAGCAGGCUUACGCCGUUGAAUCUUUUAGCAUGGAAUAAUAAGAUAGGAUCUUGAUACUAUUUUGUUGGUUUGCGUGUCGAGAUAAUGAUGAAUAGGGACAGUUGGGGGUAUUUGUAUUCCAUAGUCAGAGGUGAAAUUCUUGGAUUUAUGGA
This 479-nucleotide ribosomal RNA is filed under the name uncultured diatom. Its description in RNAcentral is "SSU rRNA". It matches the Rfam family "Eukaryotic small subunit ribosomal RNA", at positions 451 to 932 of the family's 1831-position model. Lineage: Eukaryota; Bacillariophyta. The record is from RNAcentral.